CCUACGGGAGGCUGCAGUGGGGAAUAUUGGACAAUGGGCGAAAGCCUGAUCCAGCCAUGCCGCGUGUGUGAGGAAGGCCUUCGGGUUGUAAAGCACUUUCAGUGGGGAAGAAAGCCUUGGGGCUAAUACCCUCGAGGAAGGACAUCACCCACAGAAGAAGCACCGGCUAACUCCGUGCCAGCAGCCGCGGUAAUACGGAGGGUGCGAGCGUUAAUCGGAAUUACUGGGCGUAAAGCGCGCGUAGGCGGUCUGAUAAGCCGGUUGUGAAAGCCCCGGGCUCAACCUGGGAACGGCAUCCGGAACUGUCAGGCUAGAGUGCCGGAGAGGAAGGUAGAAUUCCCGGUGUAGCGGUGAAAUGCGUAGAGAUCGGGAGGAAUACCAGUGGCCAAGGCGGCCUUCUGGACUGACACUGACGCUGAGGUGCGAAAGCGUGGGUAGCAAACAGGAUUAGAUACCCCUGUAGUC
This 465-nucleotide ribosomal RNA is filed under the name Vreelandella stevensii. RNAcentral's name for it is "partial 16S ribosomal RNA". It matches the Rfam family "Bacterial small subunit ribosomal RNA", at positions 338 to 795 of the family's 1533-position model. Lineage: Bacteria; Pseudomonadati; Pseudomonadota; Gammaproteobacteria; Oceanospirillales; Halomonadaceae. The record is from RNAcentral.